AACGAACGCUGGCGGCAUGCCUAACACAUGCAAGUCGAACGAGACCUUCGGGUCUAGUGGCGCACGGGUGCGUAACGCGUGGGAACCUGCCCUUAGGUUCGGAAUAACUCCCUGAAAGGGGUGCUAAUACCGGAGAAUGUCUUCGGACAAAAGAUUUAUCGCCUUUGGAUGGGCCCGCGUUGGUUGAGGUAGUGGGUAGGGUAAAAGCCUACUAAGGCGACGAGCCAGAGCUGGACUGAGAGGAGGCUCAGCCAGACUGGGACUGAGACACGGCCCAGACUGGUGCGAGCGGUGGCGGAGGGGGAUAAUGGGGUGUGAGCGAGAGGCUGAACCGGCGAGGGCGGGAGGAUGGUGAAGGCCUUGGAAUUGUAAUGCGCUUUUGCCCGAGCUGUUAGUGACAGUACCGGGUGAAGAAGCACCGGCUAACUCCGUG
RNAcentral lists this ribosomal RNA (433 nucleotides) under uncultured bacterium. Its description in RNAcentral is "partial 16S ribosomal RNA". It matches the Rfam family "Bacterial small subunit ribosomal RNA", at positions 28 to 507 of the family's 1533-position model. The record is from RNAcentral.